ACGGGAGGCAGCAGUGGGGAAUAUUGGGCAAUGGGCGAAAGCCUGACCCAGCGACGCCGCGUGAAGGAAGAAGGUCUUCGGAUUGUAAACUUCUUUUAUAUGGGACGAAGAAAAUGACGGUACCAUAUGAAUAAGCCACGGCUAACUACGUGCCAGCAGCCGCGGUAAUACGUAGGUGGCGAGCGUUAUCCGGAUUUAUUGGGUUUAAAGGGUGCGCAGGCGGCACGUUAAGUCAGCGGUGAAAUGUCGGGGCUCAACCCGGGCACUGCCGUUGAAACUGGCGAGCUUGAGUACGGAUGAAGUCGGCGGAAUGUGAUGUGUAGCGGUGAAAUGCUUAGAUAUGUCACAGAACACCGAUUGCGAAGGCAGCUGACUAAUCCGCAACUGACGCUCAGGCACGAAAGCGUGGGGAUCGAACAGGAUUAGAUACCCUGGUA
The sequence is a ribosomal RNA, 437 nucleotides long. It matches the Rfam family "Bacterial small subunit ribosomal RNA", at positions 341 to 792 of the family's 1533-position model.